Molecule: ribosomal RNA, 490 nt
Filed under: uncultured bacterium
Lineage: Bacteria
Description: bacterial SSU rRNA
Rfam family: Bacterial small subunit ribosomal RNA
Source: RNAcentral
GACGCUGGCGGCGGGCCUCAUACAUGCAAGUCGAGCGCGAAAGUCCGCAAGGAUGAGUAAAGCGGCGCACGGGUGAGUAACACGUGGAUAAUCUACCCUUUGGACUGGAAUAACCUGUCGAAAGACGGGCUAAUGCCGAGUAAGCUUACGAGUUCGUGAAGUUCUUGUAAGGAAAGAUGGUGCAAGCUAUCGCCGAAGGAUGAGUCUGCGCCCCAUUAGUUAGUUGGUGAGGUAAUGGCUUACCAAGACUAUGAUGGGUACCUGGUCUGAGAGGAUGAUCGGGCACACUGGAACUGAAACACGGUCCAGACUCCUACGGGAGGCAGCAGUAGGGAAUAUUGCGCAAUGGACGAAAGUCUGACGCAGCCACGCCGCGUGAGUGAGGAAGGCCUUCGGGUUGUAAAGCUCUGUCAUUCGGGAAAAAUAGCCAUCCAGGGAAAGUUCGGGUGGUUUGAUGGUACCGAAGGAGGAAGCACCGGCAAACUCUGUG